RNAcentral lists this ribosomal RNA (497 nucleotides) under uncultured bacterium. Its description in RNAcentral is "partial 16S ribosomal RNA". It matches the Rfam family "Bacterial small subunit ribosomal RNA", at positions 28 to 507 of the family's 1533-position model. The record is from RNAcentral.
GAUGAACGCUGGCGGCGUGCCUAAUACAUGCAAGUCGAGCGAACGGACGAGAAGCUUGCUUCUCUGAUGUUAGCGGCGGACGGGUGAGUAACACGUGGAUAACCUACCUAUAAGACUGGGAUAACUUCGGGAAACCGGAGCUAAUACCGGAUAAUAUUUUGAACCGCAUUGUUCAAAAGUGAAAGACGGUCUUGCUGUCACUUAUAGAUGGAUCCGCGCUGCAUUAGCUAGUUGGUAAGGUAACGGCUUACCAAGGCAACGAUGCAUAGCCGACCUGAGAGGGUGAUCGGCCACACUGGAACUGAGACACGGUCCAGACUCCUACGGGAGGCAGCAGUAGGGAAUCUUCCGCAAUGGGCGAAAGCCUGACGGAGCAACGCCGCGUGAGUGAUGAAGGUCUUCGGAUCAUAAAACUCUGUUAUUAGGGAAGAACAUAUGUGUAAGUAACUGUGCACAUCUUGACGGUACCUACUCAGAAAGCCACGGCUAACUACGUG